UGGGGAAUUUUGGACAAUGGGGGCAACCCUGAUCCAGCAAUGCCGCGUGUGUGAAGAAGGCCUUCGGGUUGUAAAGCACUUUUGUCCGGGAAGAAAUCGCACCUGAUAAUACCGGGUGUGGAUGACGGUACCGGAAGAAUAAGGACCGGCUAACUACGUGCCAGCAGCCGCGGUAAUACGUAGGGUCCAAGCGUUAAUCGGAAUUACUGGGCGUAAAGCGUGCGCAGGCGGUUGUGUAAGACCGAUGUGAAAUCCCCGGGCUUAACCUGGGAAUUGCAUUGGUGACUGCACGGCUAGAGUGUGUCAGAGGGGGGUAGAAUUCCACGUGUAGCAGUGAAAUGCGUAGAGAUGUGGAGGAAUACCGAUGGCGAAGGCAGCCCCCUGGGAUAACACUGACGCUCAUGCACGAAAGCGUGGGGAGCAAACAGG
RNAcentral lists this ribosomal RNA (429 nucleotides) under Bacillota bacterium. RNAcentral's name for it is "Firmicutes bacterium partial 16S ribosomal RNA". It matches the Rfam family "Bacterial small subunit ribosomal RNA", at positions 355 to 776 of the family's 1533-position model. Lineage: Bacteria; Bacillati; Bacillota. The record is from RNAcentral.